RNAcentral lists this long non-coding RNA (322 nucleotides) under Calidris pugnax (ruff). RNAcentral's name for it is "lncRNA (ENSCPUG00000009051.1)". The record is from RNAcentral. Lineage: Eukaryota; Metazoa; Chordata; Aves; Charadriiformes; Scolopacidae.
AGUCAUGUGCUUAAGGUUAUUCAUGUACUUAAGAAUUGCACAAGAGGUGGCUUUUUCUCCAGAGGCUCACUAGUUAUUAGAGAGAGGAUACACAUAUAUACACACACACGUACUCCAGGCUAUACAUACAUCUGUGGAAGCCAUGCUCAGGAAUGACAACUACAUAUAAAACAAAGUCUUCGUAUAACAUAAGUUAUGACUUCUGAUUAUUUAAAAUUGGGAGAAGAUAACUGGAUAAAGAGGGAUCUCCAGUGCAGGAGGAAACAGCAUAGACCACCAGAGAAGAACUUCCUGUGUCUAACUCUGUGUUGUUGUAGAAGAC